Long non-coding RNA from Oncorhynchus tshawytscha (Chinook salmon), 825 nucleotides. The record is from Ensembl. Lineage: Eukaryota; Metazoa; Chordata; Actinopteri; Salmoniformes; Salmonidae.
GGAAGUUCUCAGUUCCUGUUUUAAUCCCCAAGUUCCUUUGAGUUCGGCCUUGGGUCCUUUAGCUUGUUGGAGGAGAUCCUCACAGGGCAGGAGUGGGCCAGGUUUCUAAAUCCAUCACAAGUAGACACCUUAGCCAAUCAAACACCAGCUGAAGAGGUCACCAAUCAAUUAGAGGCCAGCCAGAGACGGCCACAAGAUCAUGAGAGCGGCCGAUCAACUAUGACCUUGGACAGAGUCAGACAAUCAGGAAAUGUGAACAGUCAGUGGGACUUCAGACAAAGUGAAUUGGACCUAAGUUAUGAUAGAAGCGCUGAUGUUUCUUCAUCUGUCAAUAUGAAUAUCACAGAACCAAGCCUUGUCCAAGAACAGAACAGUAAAUGUGAACUCAUCCAAUCGGCACCAAAGGAAUAUGGUCAUGUCCAAUCACAAACCAGUUCUGAUGAAGUGAGGCCAAAUCAUAUACCUGUGUUAGAGUUCUCGUUCAUUAAGCCAGUGGAGGUCUUGGAUAGCUCUGCCCUGAAGAGCAGGGUCCACAUGAACAGAAAAAGAGAGCACCGGUCACAGGAGAGGAAAGAAGAGAGAGAAUGUUUAAAAGGAGAGGGGGGAGAGAGAUUAGAAGACAACUCAGUCCCAUCUGAUGAGGAAGAGAGGGAAGAGGGGGACAACUUUAUGAUGCCUGUCUACCCCCUGAAAUCCUCCCUUUCCCCUCUCCCUCCAUCCUCCCCCUCUUCCACCUCACAUCCCCUUGUCACCCGAAGUAUACUGCAACACUCAGUGUUUCAAGAUUCAGAGUCCUCACUAUCAAUGGAAACAGUGACCAAAAAG